Molecule: non-coding RNA, 45 nt
Organism: Schistosoma margrebowiei
Lineage: Eukaryota; Metazoa; Platyhelminthes; Trematoda; Strigeidida; Schistosomatidae
Source: Rfam
AUCCAGCUGACGAGUCCCAAAUAGGACGAGAUGCGCGCCCUGGAU